This 775-nucleotide ribosomal RNA is filed under the name Vibrio sp. BTOS1. RNAcentral describes it as "bacterial SSU rRNA". It matches the Rfam family "Bacterial small subunit ribosomal RNA", at positions 196 to 943 of the family's 1533-position model. The record is from RNAcentral. Lineage: Bacteria; Pseudomonadati; Pseudomonadota; Gammaproteobacteria; Vibrionales; Vibrionaceae.
ACGGGCCAAAGAGGGGGACCUUCGGGCCUCUCGCGUCGGGAUAUGCCUAGGUGGGAUUAGCUAGUUGGUGAGGUAAGGGCUCACCAAGGCGACGAUCCCUAGCUGGUCUGAGAGGAUGAUCAGCCACACUGGAACUGAGACACGGUCCAGACUCCUACGGGAGGCAGCAGUGGGGAAUAUUGAACAAUGGGCGCAAGCCUGAUGCAGCCAUGCCGCGUGUGUGAAGAAAGCCUUCGGGUUGUAAAGCACUUUCAGUCGUGAGGAAGGUAGUGUAGUUAGUAUCUGAAUUAUUUGACGUUAGCGACAGAAUAAGCACCGGCUAACUCCGUGCCAGCAGCCGCGGUAAUACUGAGGGUGCGAGCGUUAAUCGGAAUUACUGGGCGUAUAGCGCAUGCACGUGGUUUGUUAAUUCAGAUGUGAAAGCCCGGGGCUCAUCCUCGGAAUUGCAAUUUGAAACUGGCAGACUAGAGUACUGUAGAGGGGGGUAGAAUUUCAGGUGUAGCGUUGAAAUGCGUAGAGAUCUGAAGGAAUACCGGUGGCGAAUGCGGCCCCCUGGAUAGAUACUGACACUCAGAUGCUAAAGCGUGGGGAGCAUUCAGGAUUAGAUACCCUGUUAGAUCUCGCCGUAUACGAUGUCUACUUGGAAGUUGUGGCCCUUGACUAGUGUCUUUCAGAGCUGACGCUUUAAGUACACCUGCCUGGGUAGUACGGUCGGCAUGAUUAAUACUCAUAUUGACAUAGCCCGGGGCCUCGGCACUAUACGUCGGAGCAAUGU